CAGCAGCCACGGUAAUGCGUAGGUGGCAAGCGUUGUCCGGAAUUAUUGGGCGUAAAGGGCUCGCAGGCGGUUUCUUAAGUCUGAUGUGAAAGCCCCCGGCUCAACCGGGGAGGGUCAUUGGAAACUGGGAAACUUGAGUGCAGAAGAGGAGAGUGGAAUUCCACGUGUAGCGGUGAAAUGCGUAGAGAUGUGGAGGAACACCAGUGGCGAAGGCGUCUCUCUGGUCUGUAACUGACGCUGAGGAGCGAAAGCGUGGGGAGCGAACAGGAUUAGAUACCCCUGUAGUCCCUGUCUCUUAUAC
Molecule: ribosomal RNA, 301 nt
Filed under: uncultured bacterium
Lineage: Bacteria
Description: partial 16S ribosomal RNA
Rfam family: Bacterial small subunit ribosomal RNA
Source: RNAcentral